Molecule: unclassified non-coding RNA, 270 nt
Filed under: Hevea brasiliensis (rubber tree)
Lineage: Eukaryota; Viridiplantae; Streptophyta; Magnoliopsida; Malpighiales; Euphorbiaceae
Source: RNAcentral
UAGUGGGUUGUAAGUCUAGAUUAUAUGCAGAUCAAAAUUUUAGAAUUUGAUUAGGUGUUUAUUCUAGAUUUUGUUUGGUCCAUCAAUAGGGGCAACUCUUCUCUUCUACAUGAGCCUUCAACCCACUCCAUUGAAUUCAAACUUUAAGACCAAUUAAUUGAAGUUGAGUUAUACUGCUUAGUUAUCCCCUUGGUACCUGUUCACUUGAGAAUACUUGAUGCAAGUUGAUUUCUGAACCUCCUUUCCCUUCCCCUCCCACCCACGCCGCCC